Molecule: ribosomal RNA, 429 nt
Filed under: Bacteroidota bacterium
Lineage: Bacteria; Pseudomonadati; Bacteroidota
Description: Bacteroidetes bacterium partial 16S ribosomal RNA
Rfam family: Bacterial small subunit ribosomal RNA
Source: RNAcentral
UAGGGAAUCUUCGGCAAUGGGGGGAACCCUGACCGAGCAACGCCGCGUGAGUGAAGAAGGUUUUCUGAUCGUAAAGCUCUGUUGUUAAGGAAGAACGAGUGUGAGAAUGGAAAGUUCAUGCUGUGACGGUACUUAACCAGAAAGGGACGGCUAACUACGUGCCAGCAGCCGCGGUAAUACGUAGGUCCCGAGCGUUGUCCGGAUUUAUUGGGCGUAAAGCGAGCGCAGGCGGUUAGAAAAGUCUGAAGUGAAAGGCAGUGGCUCAACCAUUGUAGGCUUUGGAAACUGUUUAACUUGAGUGCAGAAGGGGAGAGUGGAAUUCCAUGUGUAGCGGUGAAAUGCGUAGAUAUAUGGAGGAACACCGGUGGCGAAAGCGGCUCUCUGGUCUGUAACUGACGCUGAGGCUCGAAAGCGUGGGGAGCGAACAGG